CCUAUUGGAUAACUGCGGUAAUUCUGGAGCUAAUACAUGCGUAUAAACCCUGACUUUCGAAAGGGUGCAAUUAUUAGAGCAAAUCAAUCAUUUUCGGAUGUAGUUUGCUGACUCUGAAUAACGCAGCAUAUCGGCGGCUUGUUCGCUGAUAAUCCGAAAAAGUGUCUGCCCUAUCAACCUGAUGGUAGUCUAUUAGUCUACCAUGGUUAUUACGGGUAACGGAGAAUAAGGGUUCGACUCCGGAGAGGGAGCCUUAGAAACGGCUACCACAUCCAAGGAAGGCAGCAGGCGCGAAACUUAUCCAAUCUU
RNAcentral lists this ribosomal RNA (309 nucleotides) under Angiostrongylus malaysiensis. RNAcentral describes it as "SSU rRNA". It matches the Rfam family "Eukaryotic small subunit ribosomal RNA", at positions 135 to 452 of the family's 1831-position model. The record is from RNAcentral. Lineage: Eukaryota; Metazoa; Nematoda; Chromadorea; Rhabditida; Metastrongylidae.